RNAcentral lists this ribosomal RNA (253 nucleotides) under uncultured bacterium. Its description in RNAcentral is "partial 16S ribosomal RNA". It matches the Rfam family "Bacterial small subunit ribosomal RNA", at positions 524 to 776 of the family's 1533-position model. The record is from RNAcentral.
UACGUAGGGUGCAAGCGUUAAUCGGAAUUACUGGGCGUAAAGCGUGCGCAGGCGGUUUUGUAAGUCUGUCGUGAAAUCCCCGGGCUCAACCUGGGAAUUGCGAUGGAGACUGCAGGGCUAGAAUCUGGCAGAGGGGGGUAGAAUUCCACGUGUAGCAGUGAAGUGCGUAGAGAUGUGGAGGAACACCGAUGGCGAAGGCAGCCCCCUGGGUCAAGAUUGACGCUCAUGCACGAAAGCGUGGGGAGCAAACAGG